Molecule: long non-coding RNA, 2561 nt
Organism: Oxyura jamaicensis (ruddy duck)
Lineage: Eukaryota; Metazoa; Chordata; Aves; Anseriformes; Anatidae
Exons: 7
Source: RefSeq, a predicted model, not a curated record
UCAGUUUGGCUGCAGGGGGAUGGGACUUCAAACACUUUGAACCUUUCAAAACAUCUGCCUCAGAUUGUAAGCUAUCACUACUUUUGCAUUAAAAAAAAAGGUAUCUCAAAAGUAUGUUGUUGUGAGUCAUAUUCCAAAUGCUGGAAGAAUGGUGAUGGCAUUAGUGAAAUCCAGAACUGAAGCUGCAGUGCUCUCAAGUUUCAAUGGGAACUUCAGAACUGCUUUCUAACUGAAUUCUUCCAACCUGUGCUGAAGUAAAGUAAGUUCAUAUUAUUGUUUUCCACAUUUUUCAACAUCCUACCCAGUUAAUGUGACACAACUUAUUCUUAUUUGACAGUGACUAGCUCCACCCCUGUCUGCCUUCCAGUAGCUGAAUCUGACACGAUAUCAUCAUCUUUGCCCCAUCUGACUGGUGGUGACAUUGAAUUUAAAGCAGGGAGAUGGCUAAUGGAAGUGGUUAUGAAAGUGGAAGUGACAGCAGCUGAAGUGGAAGGGAAAACUGAAGAUUUAAAGUGCUGAAAAUCAUGUGGGUGAAAGACCAGUAGCACCAGCGUACCUUCCCAGCUCUCUGCUCUUUGAAGAUCACUGUUUGCAGAAAUAAUGGCUCUGCAGUGGGCAGAGGGAUUUGUGUUGACUGUUAGAAUAUAUCUGUUGCUGCCAUAACCUUUCUUCUUGACUUUUGAGGAGAAUAUCCUGCAGACCUCAGUCGUCUUCACCUGAGUCCUCAGAGCCAUGUAAUUUCCUUUGAUCUUCUCCGUCCCCUCAUACCUAUGUGGAUGGGCAACAAGGAGGAGUACUACAAGACCUGUGUAAGUUCCAGCAUUCUCUGCAAGGUUGAGGUUCCAGGUCCUGGAUAAGCACCAGAUCUCCCAAAAGAGCAAAUCUGUUUGGAAGAUGGGCUUGUAUGCCAGUCUUCACCUAAUUCUAGAUGCUAACUUGUUCUUACAGCCAGUUUUUAUAUGUAUGCAUUAUAAUCAAUCUAAACUAAUGAUUUCACGGAUCUUAGUGAAAAUAAACCUAUUUACAAAGUCUAACUUUCCCCAGUUCCUCCAGCCUGAAUAGAAACUUUGUCCAACCACACCCCUUAAGGAACUGAAUGGCUCUACUUGAAUAAAUGAAGACUUAAGAUUGGAAGUACCUUUAUGAAAGUUACUUUCGAAGAAGAAUGAUUUGCUUCUUUAUGUAUGCUGUUUAAGUAUGAGUUUCACAUACAGAAUUGUACCUUCAACAAAAAAUACUGUUGCUUCAAUUCUAGGCUCCUAAAAUGUAUCUGCUGUUCUUUCUUGGGAACGUCUUACAGCUUCUUUCCUGAUACUUCAGUAAAUGUGCAUCUUAGACUAGAGGUUUGGAUUAAAAGUGUGCAGACACCUUGACUUGGAAGGCCUUUAUCUUCUAGCUCCAUCUGAACUGAACAUCAUCAAUUUAUGUGGUGUGCAGUAAAUAGACUAGUGCAGCACAGUUGAAAAUUUACAGCGUUAUCCUCUCUGCAGUAGGUAGGUUUUAUUCUUUUUCUGCCUCUUUCACAACUUAUUGCAGUGAUUAUAGAAAAUUGCUGCAGUCAUAACACAAAACAAGGAAAAGCAUCUUUUUUUUUUUUUUUUUUUUUUUUCUUUUUCUUUGUGUUGAAUGCUAAUUUCAUCUCACUGAAGAAUCUAAUUUCAUUAAAACCUAUACUGCCAAUAAAGGAAUUCUUUCUUAGGUUAACAAAAUGCUGAGGGAGAGUACAUUAAUAUUUGCCUUACACUCUGUAUUUUCUGUAGUUCUUAGCACGAAAUUCUCUCACUAAAAGCAUUUUUCACUCUUAACAAUAGAAGACAAAUAAUGUAUAAUUUCACUGGAUCUUGAUGCUUACUUAAAGUUAAAUAUAUGCAUGCCUGUAACAUUUAUUAAGUUUAACAAAUGCUGGCAUAUACUAAUGCUGAAAAACUUCUGUUUAGAAGCACUUCCACUGAAAUAAAUUGACCAGUACUCUAAGGUGUUGUGAAUUGCUCACAAGCUAAAUGAUUGUGUAGCAACAGAGAACCAUGAAAACUAUUCAUAUGUAGAAAAGUAAUUUCUGUGUGCAGGGUGGUACUCCUUAUCAAUUUUGUAGCUAUUCUGAGAAAACUAAAACCAAAAUAUCUCCUGUUUGUGCUGUUAAUGAACUAAUUUGAGACAUCUUUAUUUCCUAUCUGUCUAUUAGCACAUGUUGUAUUGGCACAACUUUAUCUGUCAGGUUCCAGUUAAAUAUGUUGUUUAACAGCAUUAUUUUCAGCAUAUGCAUUUUGUAUUUAAGCAUAUAUUGGCAAAGCUGCAUGAUAUAUCCUAAAUACUUGCUAAUUAAAUCAAUUUCUGCAUAGUUCAGCACAUCUAAAAUAUCCCAAAUGUAGGACUAAAUUAUUGUUGUUAAAAAGUAGUUGUAUAUAAAUUGUUACUUAUUUAGAAUUUCAUAUAAGUUAAACUAUAUUCAUAUAUGAUGUAUAUGUAUGUAGUAACUGGUCAUAACCAGAUACUUUAUACUCAAAAUAAAUAUGUCCCUUGUGUAUACUUCUGUUGUUACUUUUUUCUUUCCUCCAGUAAAA